Molecule: ribosomal RNA, 468 nt
Filed under: uncultured bacterium
Lineage: Bacteria
Description: partial 16S ribosomal RNA
Rfam family: Bacterial small subunit ribosomal RNA
Source: RNAcentral
GACGAACGCUGGCGGCGGGCUUAACACAUGCAAGUCGAACGGAAAGGCCCUGCUUGUUUGGGGUGCUCGAGUGGCGAACGGGGGAGUAACACGUGAGUAACCUGCCCUUGACUUUGGGAUAACUUCAGGAAACUGGGGCUAAUACCGGAUAGGAGCUCCUGCUGCAUGGUGGGGGUUGGAAAGUUUCGGCGGUUGGGGAUGGACGCGCGGCUUAUCAGCUUGUUGGUGGGGUAGUGGCUUACCAAGGCUUUGACGGGUAGCCGGCCUGAGAGGGUGACCGGCCACAUUGGGCCUGAGAUACGGCGCAGACUCCUACGGGAGGCAGCAGUGGGGAAUAUUGCACAAUGGGCGGAAGCCUGAUGCAGCAACGCCGCGUCUGGGAUGACGGCCUUCGGGUUGUAAACCGCUUUCGCCUGUGACGAAGCGUGAGUGACGGUAAUGGGUAAAGAAGCACCGGCUAACUACGUG